UCCACCCCUGUGAUUAUACCUUUAAUUGUUGCUUCGGCGGGACUUCGCGCCCGCCGGCGGCACCCAAACCUUCUGAAUUUUAUAAUAAGUAUCUUCUGAGUGGUUAAAAAUGAAUCAAAACUUUCAACAACGGAUCUCUUGGUUCUGGCAUCGAUGAAAAACGCAGCGAAAUGCGAUAAGUAAUGUGAAUUGCAAAAUACAGUGAAUCAUCGAAUCUUUGAACGCACAUUGCGCCCGUCAGUAUUCUGGCGGGCAUGCCUGUUCGAGCGUCAUUACGCCCCUCAAGUCCCCUGUGGACUUGGUGUUGCGCCCAUCGGAUCGUUGCAGAGCCUGCCGUAUAUGCUAGUAGCUUUCGAGGCUGGUUUUCCAGCACAGCCGUCCCUUAAAUUAAUUGGCGGUCUCGCCGUGGCCCUCCUCUGCGCAGUAGUAAAGCACUCGCAACAGGAGCCCGGCGCGGUCCACUGCCGUAAAACCGGGCGAACUUCUCGGAGU
This 492-nucleotide ribosomal RNA is filed under the name Metarhizium anisopliae. RNAcentral describes it as "partial 18S ribosomal RNA". The stretch from base 119 to 272 matches the Rfam family "5.8S ribosomal RNA". Lineage: Eukaryota; Fungi; Ascomycota; Sordariomycetes; Hypocreales; Clavicipitaceae. The record is from RNAcentral.